This 1405-nucleotide ribosomal RNA is filed under the name uncultured bacterium. RNAcentral's name for it is "bacterial SSU rRNA". It matches the Rfam family "Bacterial small subunit ribosomal RNA". The record is from RNAcentral.
GAGUUUGAUCAUGGCUCAGGACGAACGCUGGCGGCGUGCCUAAUACAUGCAAGUAGAACGCUGAAGAGAGGAGCUUGCUCUUCUUGGAUGAGUUGCGAACGGGUGAGUAACGCGUAGGUAACCUGCCUUGUAGCGGGGGAUAACUAUUGGAAACGAUAGCUAAUACCGCAUAACAAUGGAUGACACAUGUCAUUUAUUUGAAAGGGGCAAUUGCUCCACUACAAGAUGGACCUGCGUUGUAUUAGCUAGUAGGUGAGGUAACGGCUCACCUAGGCGACGAUACAUAGCCGACCUGAGAGGGUGAUCGGCCACACUGGGACUGAGACACGGCCCAGACUCCUACGGGAGGCAGCAGUAGGGAAUCUUCGGCAAUGGGGGCAACCCUGACCGAGCAACGCCGCGUGAGUGAAGAAGGUUUUCGGAUCGUAAAGCUCUGUUGUAAGUCAAGAACGGGUGUGAGAGUGGAAAGUUCACACUGUGACGGUAGCUUACCAGAAAGGGACGGCUAACUACGUGCCAGCAGCCGCGGUAAUACGUAGGUCCCGAGCGUUGUCCGGAUUUAUUGGGCGUAAAGCGAGCGCAGGCGGUUUGAUAAGUCUGAAGUUAAAGGCUGUGGCUCAACCAUAGUUCGCUUUGGAAACUGUCAAACUUGAGUGCAGAAGGGGAGAGUGGAAUUCCAUGUGUAGCGGUGAAAUGCGUAGAUAUAUGGAGGAACACCGGUGGCGAAAGCGGCUCUCUGGUCUGUAACCGACGCUGAGGCUCGAAAGCGUGGGGAGCGAACAGGAUUAGAUACCCUGGUAGUCCACGCCGUAAACGAUGAGUGCUAGGUGUUGGAUCCUUUCCGGGAUUCAGUGCCGCAGCUAACGCAUUAAGCACUCCGCCUGGGGAGUACGACCGCAAGGUUGAAACUCAAAGGAAUUGACGGGGGCCCGCACAAGCGGUGGAGCAUGUGGUUUAAUUCGAAGCAACGCGAAGAACCUUACCAGGUCUUGACAUCCCGAUGCUAUUUCUAGAGAUAGAAAGUUACUUCGGUACAUCGGUGACAGGUGGUGCAUGGUUGUCGUCAGCUCGUGUCGUGAGAUGUUGGGUUAAGUCCCGCAACGAGCGCAACCCCUAUUGUUAGUUGCCAUCAUUCAGUUGGGCACUCUAGCGAGACUGCCGGUAAUAAACCGGAGGAAGGUGGGGAUGACGUCAAAUCAUCAUGCCCCUUAUGACCUGGGCUACACACGUGCUACAAUGGUUGGUACAACGAGUUGCGAGUCGGUGACGGCAAGCUAAUCUCUUAAAGCCAAUCUCAGUUCGGAUUGUAGGCUGCAACUCGCCUACAUGAAGUCGGAAUCGCUAGUAAUCGCGGAUCAGCACGCCGCGGUGAAUACGUUCCCGGGCCUUGCACACACCGCCCGUC